CACACAUAUAUAGCACCCCUAUAUUAUGUGUGUGAGGGGUGAUAUAUAUAUAUAUAUAUAUCACCCCUCACACACAUAAUAUAGGGGUGCUAUAUA
Pelobates cultripes (western spadefoot toad) is the source of this 96-nucleotide non-coding RNA. The record is from the annotation of a GenBank genome assembly. Lineage: Eukaryota; Metazoa; Chordata; Amphibia; Anura; Pelobatidae.